UGGGGAAUAUUGCACAAUGGAGGGAACUCUGAUGCAGCGACACCGCGUGAACGAAGAAGGCUUUCGAGUCGUAAAGUUCUUUUAUAUGGGAAGAUAAUGACGGUACCAUAAGAAAAAGCCCCGGCUAACUACUUGCCAGCAGCCGCGGUAAUACGUAGGGGGCUAGCGUUGUCCGGAAUCACUGGGCGUAAAGGGUUCGCAGGCGGAAAUGCAAGUCAGGUGUAAAAGGCAGUAGCUUAACUACUGUAAGCAUUUGAAACUGCAUAUCUUGAGAAGAGUAGAGGUAAGUGGAAUUUUUAGUGUAGCGGUAAAAUGCGUAGAUAUUAAAAAGAAUACCGGUGGCGAAGGCGACUUACUGGGCUCAUUCUGACGCUGAGGAACGAAAGCGUGGGUAGCAAACAGG
This 403-nucleotide ribosomal RNA is filed under the name Bacteroidota bacterium. RNAcentral's name for it is "Bacteroidetes bacterium partial 16S ribosomal RNA". It matches the Rfam family "Bacterial small subunit ribosomal RNA", at positions 355 to 776 of the family's 1533-position model. The record is from RNAcentral. Lineage: Bacteria; Pseudomonadati; Bacteroidota.